AACGAACGCUGGCGGCAGGCCUAACACAUGCAAGUCGAACGCCCUAGCAAUAGGGAGUGGCAGACGGGUGAGUAACGCGUGGGAAUAUCCCCCUCAGUACGGAAUAGCCCAGGGAAACUUGGAGUAAUACCGUAUACGUCCGUGAGGAGAAAGAUUUAUCGCUGAGGGAUUAGCCCGCGUAGGAUUAGCUAGUUGGUGAGGUAAUGGCUCACCAAGGCGACGAUCCUUAGCUGGUCUGAGAGGACGAUCAGCCACACUGGGACUGAGACACGGCCCAGACUCCUACGGGAGGCAGCAGUGGGGAAUAUUGGACAAUGGGCGCAAGCCUGAUCCAGCCAUGCCGCGUGAGUGACGAAGGCCUUAGGGUUGUAAAGCUCUUUUGGCGGGGACGAUAAUGACGGUACCCGCAGAAUAAGCCCCGGCUAACUUCGUGCCAGCCGCCGCCGUAAAAC
This 452-nucleotide ribosomal RNA is filed under the name uncultured bacterium. RNAcentral's name for it is "bacterial SSU rRNA". It matches the Rfam family "Bacterial small subunit ribosomal RNA", at positions 29 to 526 of the family's 1533-position model. The record is from RNAcentral.